AGUGAACGCUGGCGGCAGGCCUAACACAUGCAAGUCGAGCGGCAGCGCGGGGGCAACCCUGGCGGCGAGCGGCGGACGGGUGAGGAAUUCGUCGGAAUCUGCCUUUUUGUGGGGGAUAACGUAGGGAAACUUACGCUAAUACCGCAUACGUCCUACGGGAGAAAGUGGGGGACCGCAAGGCCUCACGCAGAAAGAUGAGCCGACGACCGAUUAGCUAGUUGGUGGGGUAAAGGCCCACCAAGGCGACGAUCGGUAGCUGGUCUGAGAGGAUGAUCAGCCACACUGGGACUGAGACACGGCCCAGACUCCUACGGGAGGCAGCAGUGGGGAAUAUUGGACAAUGGGCGCAAGCCUGAUCCAGCCAUGCCGCGUGUGAAGAAGGCCUUCGGGUUGUAAAGCACUUUUGUCCGGAAAGAAAUCCCUGGAGCUAAUACCUUCGGGGGAUGACGGUACCGGAAGAAUAAGCACCGGCUAACUUCGUG
RNAcentral lists this ribosomal RNA (482 nucleotides) under uncultured bacterium. Its description in RNAcentral is "partial 16S ribosomal RNA". It matches the Rfam family "Bacterial small subunit ribosomal RNA", at positions 29 to 507 of the family's 1533-position model. The record is from RNAcentral.